Long non-coding RNA from Manduca sexta (tobacco hornworm), 1034 nucleotides. RefSeq lists it as uncharacterized. Lineage: Eukaryota; Metazoa; Arthropoda; Insecta; Lepidoptera; Sphingidae. The record is from RefSeq and is a predicted model, not a curated record. The transcript is spliced from 3 exons.
UGGAAUCGGAUAAAUACAGGCUGAUCCCGGAACGCGACACGUUUGGGCCACUAUGGCGGAUUCUAAAACAUUGUGUACGGUGAUCGCUAUCUGGGCGGAUAUAUCGCCUGAAAUUGUUUAAGCAUUUUUUUGCAUCACUAUAGAUUCAUUUGGGACUGACUGUGCUAAGUUAAUAAAACAUAGUAACAUAUUGGGAUAUAAACCGGAAUACAGAUGUGUGCGGCAUAUAGCGGACUCGCCUCCUAUAAUAUUAUAGGAAGAAACAACACAGGGCGAAAAAAAGCCGGCUCGGAUGCCUCUCCGCCUACCACUUCCGAGAUAAUAGCGUGAUAUGUAAAAAAUGUUUGACUUAACGUCUACCCAAAACUUAAAACCUAACACGAACGAUUCUUACAAAAUGAAGAUAUACCAAAAAUAUUUUCUCCUAACUAUUCGACCUACAUAAUAUCUAUAAGUACGUAUAGGUAAUAUGGUGUUCGAGUUUUAUUCCGUCUAUAAAAUUCGCCAGCGCCGAGGCGGUGCACUGAAGUAUUAAGACGUGACAUACGCUCACAAAAGGGCCCCUACCACGAGCUAGUUAAUAUAACACCUAUGCAAAUACGAUUGAAAUGGGAAAUAUUGCAUAUCAUUCUUUAUAAAGUUUUAAAUAAAAUACUUUUUUCGCUGGCAGCUGUUUAUCGUUUAUCGUUUAGUAAUACUAAUAUUUAAGGACCUCACUAGAAAGAUGUUCUCUGUGAUUCUGAGUAUGUUUUCGUCUUAGUAAGGUUAAUAUGUGAAAUUAUGGAAGACUGGUAGGUACAAUCUUAACGGUUUUCUGGAAAGGCGAUUAGAGAACAACUGCAGCAAUUAAAAAUAAACCAAAUAAUGUCGAACGAGGAGUGAGGUAACAUCUGCCUUUAGUUGGCAAAAUUAUGCUUGCCUGCUUUAAUGAACAAUUCUGCCGUGCUAAGCUCAAAAGCAGUAUCUCAAAAAAAAUCAGAAUCCUGAUUUUUAUGUCGUCAGAUAGCUUAAAGAAAUACCCAUCCAAUGAACUU